Long non-coding RNA from Chelonia mydas (Green sea turtle), 399 nucleotides. RefSeq lists it as uncharacterized. The transcript has 2 exons. The record is from RefSeq and is a predicted model, not a curated record. NCBI's taxonomy places the organism in Eukaryota, Metazoa, Chordata, Testudines, Cheloniidae.
CUCUGACGUGAUGUUUCAGAACAUAAUAUGCUGGUUAUUUCACAGCAGCUACAGAACCCGUGGUGGCCAGCAUACAUUGGGGGCAGGAUUUCUGAAAUGGUUAUGACCGCAUGCUGGACUGAAACUACUGGAGUCAAUGGGAGAUUUGACUGAGGAAGGACAACAGGACUAGUCCAUUAUCUGGUGUGUGCGUACAUACAUAGUCAUCCCUAUCACUGAUACUUUAACUGCACCAUUGUGCAUAUGUAAAAUUUAAUUUACAAACACUUAUUACUACAUUGCUUUCAUUUAUCAAUUAAUUUUUCACACACAGAUUGGUUUGCACACUAGCCUUCAGUAAGUACGAGGCACCUGGAAAGUUCCAGCUUCUAAAUUUCAGCCAUUGUUGAGUGGUCCAUG